AACGCUGGCGGCGUGCUUACACAUGCAAGUCGAACGAGAAAGCCGAAAGCUUGCUUUUGGCGAGUAGAGUGGCGCACGGGUGAGUAACGCGUGGGUAAUCUGCCUUCGAACCGGGGAUAACACUUCGAAAGGGGUGCUAAUACCGGAUGACAUCCAGGUGUCUUCGGGCGCCUGGAUCAAAGAUGGUCUCUCCAUGGAAGCUGUUGUUCGAAGAUGAGCCCGCGUCCCAUUAGCUUGUUGGUGGGGUAAAGGCCCACCAAGGCGACGAUGGGUAGCUGGUCUGAGAGGAUGAUCAGCCACACUGGCACUGACACACGGGCCAGACUCCUACGGGAGGCAGCAGUGAGGAAUUUUGCGCAAUGGGGGUAACCCUGACGCAGCAACGCCGCGUGAGUGAAGAAGGCCUUCGGGUCGUAAAGCUCUGUCGAGUGGGAAGAACCCGCAUCAGGUGACAAGGCUGAUGCGCUGACGGUACCACUGGAGGAAGCACCGGCUAACUCCGUGCCAGCAGCCGCGGUAAUACGGAGGGUGCAAGCGUUAUUCGGAAUUACUGGGCGUAAAGGGCGCGCAGGCGGCCUGGUAAGUCAGUAGUGAAAGCCCGGGGCUCAACCCCGGAAGUGCUGCUGAAACUGUUGGGCUUGAGUAUGGUAGAGGGAAGCGGAAUUCCUGGUGUAGCGGUGAAAUGCGUAGAUCUCAGGAGGAACACCGGUGGCGAAGGCGGCUUCCUGGACCAAUACUGACGCUGAGGCGCGAAGGCGUGGGUAGCAAACAGGAUUAGAUACCCUGGUAGUCCACGCAGUAAACGGUGAUCACUAGG
Molecule: ribosomal RNA, 817 nt
Filed under: uncultured organism
Description: bacterial SSU rRNA
Rfam family: Bacterial small subunit ribosomal RNA
Source: RNAcentral